AAAGUAGAAGUUUAUAUAAUAUUUGACCUGCAAUCAGAAGAAGACGGUGCCCGUCCUACUUU
This 62-nucleotide transfer RNA is filed under the name Notochthamalus scabrosus. RNAcentral describes it as "tRNA-Ala". The record is from RNAcentral. Lineage: Eukaryota; Metazoa; Arthropoda; Thecostraca; Balanomorpha; Chthamalidae.